GAAUCAUGGAAUCUUUGAACGCGCCUUGCGCUCCUUGGUAUUCCGAGGAGCAUGCCUGUUUGAGUGUCAU
RNAcentral lists this ribosomal RNA (70 nucleotides) under Astraeus sp. ASTRAE-63. RNAcentral's name for it is "partial 5.8S ribosomal RNA". It matches the Rfam family "5.8S ribosomal RNA", at positions 86 to 154 of the family's 154-position model. Rfam says of the family: 5.8S ribosomal RNA (5.8S rRNA) is a component of the large subunit of the eukaryotic ribosome. It is transcribed by RNA polymerase I as part of the 45S precursor that also contains 18S and 28S rRNA. Lineage: Eukaryota; Fungi; Basidiomycota; Agaricomycetes; Boletales; Astraeaceae. The record is from RNAcentral.